Molecule: long non-coding RNA, 287 nt
Filed under: Apteryx owenii (little spotted kiwi)
Lineage: Eukaryota; Metazoa; Chordata; Aves; Apterygiformes; Apterygidae
Description: lncRNA (ENSAOWG00000013059.1)
Source: RNAcentral
CAGAACCUGAAUUUUAAUAUGAAGGGGAUUCGCAGGCAUUGUGCCAAAGAGAUUUGCUGACACUCUGUACUCAAAAACUACACAGUUUUCCACUGGGACCACUUCUGUUUUAAAAGGAACACAAAAUGAGGAACUAAAUGGUGUGUACUUUAGUUACUGCUCACACAGACCGACAAUGAAGAGAAUCUGUUCUCUUACAGCAGUUGUAGUAGCAGAAUUCUAAGCUACGUGAUUAUCCACCUUUCUUACCCUGUUAGAAUUGGUCUAUAUGGAAGUUUGGUGAUUAG